AGUAAUACAUCGGAACGUGUCUUCUAGUGGGGGAUAACUGCCCGAAAGGGCAGCUAAUACCGCAUGAGACCUGAGGGUGAAAGCGGGGGAUCGCAAGACCUCGCGCUGGAAGAGCGGCCGAUGUCCGAUUGGCUAGUUGGUGAGGUAAAGGCUCACCAAGGCGACGAUCGGUAGCUGGUCUGAGAGGACGACCAGCCACACUGGGACUGAGACACGGCCCAG
RNAcentral lists this ribosomal RNA (222 nucleotides) under uncultured bacterium. RNAcentral's name for it is "partial 16S ribosomal RNA". It matches the Rfam family "Bacterial small subunit ribosomal RNA", at positions 109 to 334 of the family's 1533-position model. The record is from RNAcentral.